RNAcentral lists this long non-coding RNA (469 nucleotides) under Oryctolagus cuniculus (rabbit). RNAcentral's name for it is "lncRNA (ENSOCUG00000037456.1)". The record is from RNAcentral. Lineage: Eukaryota; Metazoa; Chordata; Mammalia; Lagomorpha; Leporidae.
GUCUUGGUAGGGUUGUGGGCAGAUAGACACUAAGAUCAUUGGCUUACAAGAAAUUAAGGAACUGCAAGAGAGGGUGUUUCAUGUGAUCUCAUGUGAUGGAAGGAAUUGGGAUGGAGAGGGAGAUAGCAGACAGGAGUCCCAUCUGCUCUCGGAAAGCAAGCACUGUUUGAACAUUGGAGGAGCGCAACAAAUGAAUAGGGGACAAGAGGAGGAAAGCACUGGGUACGGGACAGCAACUGUUGGAAGGAUCUAAUCAUGCAUGCCUUAGCAUCAAGGGAAAGAUGGUCAAAAGCGAGACUUUGCCUCUACAGAAAAGCCAAACUGCUCCAGUGGAACUCGUUCCUCGAUGGGAACAAUCCACUCUGAGUGUGGAAGAAAAGAACACAGGAGCACUCGCCUGUUUGAUCUGGUCGGAGUGGCGUGCUGCCUUCGCGCGGGGAGAAGGGUGAGCGGGCCCACACCGAUGUUC